ACGGCUCAGUAACACGUGGAUAACCUACCCUUAGGACCGGGAUAACCUUGGGAAACUGAGGAUAAUACUGGAUAGGCAAUUAUUCCUGCAAUGGUUUUUUGUUUAAAUGUUUUUUCGCCUAAGGAUGGGUCUGCGGCCGAUUAGGUAGUUGGUUAGGUAACGGCUUACCAAGCCAUUGAUCGGUACGGGUUGUGAGAGCAAGAGCCCGGAGAUGGAACCUGAGACAAGGUUCCAGGCCCUACGGGGUGCAGCAGGCGCGAAACCUCCGCAAUGUGAGAAAUCGCGACGGGGGGAUCCCAAGUGCCAUUCUUAACGGGAUGGCUUUUCAUUAGUGUAAAGAGCUUUUGGAAUAAGGGCUGGGCAAGACCGGUGCCAGCCGCCGCGGUAACACCGGCAGCUCUAGUGGUAGCAGUUUUUAUUGGGCCUAAAGCGUCCGUAGCCGGUUUAAUAAGUCUCUGGUGAAAUCCUGUAGCUUAACUGUGGGAAUUGCUGGAGAUACUAUUAGACUUGAGACCGGGAGAGGUUAGAGGUACUCCCAGGGUAGAGGUGAAAUUCUGUAAUCCUGGGAGGACCGCCUGUUGCGAAGGCGUCUAACUGGAACGGUUCUGACGGUGAGGGACGAAAGUUAGGGGCGCGAACCGGAUUAGAUACCCGGGUAGUCCUAACCGUAAACGAUGCGGACUUGGUGUUGGGGUGGCUUUGAGCUGCUCCAGUGCCGAAGGGAAGCUGUUAAGUCCGCCGCCUGGGAAGUACGGUCGCAAGACUGAAACUUAAAGGAAUUGGCGGGGGG
This 790-nucleotide ribosomal RNA is filed under the name uncultured archaeon. RNAcentral's name for it is "bacterial SSU rRNA". It matches the Rfam family "Archaeal small subunit ribosomal RNA", at positions 85 to 875 of the family's 1478-position model. The record is from RNAcentral.